This 269-nucleotide ribosomal RNA is filed under the name uncultured Pseudomonas sp. RNAcentral's name for it is "partial 16S ribosomal RNA". It matches the Rfam family "Bacterial small subunit ribosomal RNA", at positions 1114 to 1382 of the family's 1533-position model. Lineage: Bacteria; Pseudomonadati; Pseudomonadota; Gammaproteobacteria; Pseudomonadales; Pseudomonadaceae. The record is from RNAcentral.
GUUACCAGCACGUAAUGGUGGGCACUCUAAGGAGACUGCCGGUGACAAACCGGAGGAAGGUGGGGAUGACGUCAAGUCAUCAUGGCCCUUACGGCCAGGGCUACACACGUGCUACAAUGGUCGGUACAAAGGGUUGCCAAGCCGCGAGGUGGAGCUAAUCCCAUAAAACCGAUCGUAGUCCGGAUCGCAGUCUGCAACUCGGCUGCGUGAGGUCGGAAUCGCUAGUAAUCGUGAAUCAGAAUGUCACGGUGAAUACGUUCCCGGGCCUU